This 497-nucleotide ribosomal RNA is filed under the name uncultured bacterium. RNAcentral describes it as "partial 16S ribosomal RNA". It matches the Rfam family "Bacterial small subunit ribosomal RNA", at positions 28 to 507 of the family's 1533-position model. The record is from RNAcentral.
GAUGAACGCUGGCGGCGUGCCUAAUACAUGCAAGUCGAGCGAACAGAUAAGGAGCUUGCUCCUUUGACGUUAGCGGCGGACGGGUGAGUAACACGUGGGUAACCUACCUAUAAGACUGGGAUAACUUCGGGAAACCGGAGCUAAUACCGGAUAAUAUUUCGAACCGCAUGGUUCGAUAGUGAAAGAUGGUUUUGCUAUCACUUAUAGAUGGACCCGCGCCGUAUUAGCUAGUUGGUAAGGUAACGGCUUACCAAGGCGACGAUACGUAGCCGACCUGAGAGGGUGAUCGGCCACACUGGAACUGAGACACGGUCCAGACUCCUACGGGAGGCAGCAGUAGGGAAUCUUCCGCAAAGGGCGAAAGCCUGACGGAGCAACGCCGCGUGAGUGAUGAAGGUCUUCGGAUCGUAAAACUCUGUUAUUAGGGAAGAACAUACGUGUAAGUAACUGCGCACGUCUUGACGGUACCUAAUCAGAAAGCCACGGCUAACUACGUG